This 486-nucleotide ribosomal RNA is filed under the name uncultured bacterium. Its description in RNAcentral is "partial 16S ribosomal RNA". It matches the Rfam family "Bacterial small subunit ribosomal RNA", at positions 30 to 507 of the family's 1533-position model. The record is from RNAcentral.
AUUGAACGCUGGCGGCAUGCCUUACACAUGCAAGUCGAACGGCAGCACGGGUGCUUGCACCUGGUGGCGAGUGGCGAACGGGUGAGUAAUACAUCGGAACAUGUCCUGUAGUGGGGGAGAGUCCGGCGAAAGCCGGAUUAAUACCGCAUACGAUCUACGGCUGAAAGCGGGGGACCUUCGGGCUUCGCGCUCUGGGGGUGGCGGUGGGCGGAUUUGCUUGUUGGUGGGGGAAAGGCCGACAAAGGUGACGAUGCGUAUUUGGUCUGAGAGGUUGAGCAGACACACUAGGACAGAGACACAGCCCAGACUCCUACGGGAGGCAGCAGUGGGGAAUUUUGGACAAUGGGCGAAAGCCUAAUCCAGCAAUGCCGCGUGUGUGAAGAAGGCCUUCGGGUUGUAAAGCACUUUUGUCCGGAAAGAAAUCCUUGGCCCUAAUACGGUCGGGGGAUGACGGUACCGGAAGAAUAAGCACCGGCUAACUACGUG